UGGGGAAUAUUGCGCAAUGGGCGAAAGCCUGACGCAGCGACGCCGCGUGAGGGAUGAAGGUCUUCGGAUCGUAAACCUUUGUCAGCAGGGAAGAACGGUCACUGUGCUAAUCAGCAGUGAAUUGACGGUACCUGCAAAGGAAGCACCGGCUAACUCCGUGCC
This 162-nucleotide ribosomal RNA is filed under the name uncultured bacterium. RNAcentral's name for it is "partial 16S ribosomal RNA". It matches the Rfam family "Bacterial small subunit ribosomal RNA", at positions 355 to 509 of the family's 1533-position model. The record is from RNAcentral.